CACCACCUGGUACAGGGAACGCUGGAGGCACCUAAAUAGGUGCCUUGGCCAACCCUGUGGCGAGCUUAGGUAGCGCUGAGCCGUCGCAACGCGCGCAAAGGGGUGGGCCAUUAGUUAUAUUAAUGGCUUAAGGUACGUGCUAAUCCCUUGGGUAACCAAGCCUGUGUGAUGAGACCCGACAGGUCAAGGCACAUGGGG
RNAcentral lists this ribosomal RNA (198 nucleotides) under Pleosporales sp. RNAcentral describes it as "partial small subunit ribosomal RNA". Lineage: Eukaryota; Fungi; Ascomycota; Dothideomycetes; Pleosporales. The record is from RNAcentral.